RNAcentral lists this ribosomal RNA (1402 nucleotides) under metagenome. Its description in RNAcentral is "bacterial LSU rRNA". It matches the Rfam family "Bacterial large subunit ribosomal RNA", at positions 1415 to 2925 of the family's 2925-position model. The record is from RNAcentral.
CCUUUGGAAAGCUGGUUAAUAUUCCAGCACCUGCUAUAUACUAAAAGUGACGGAGAGCCGUGGUCGCUACGUACUGACGGAUAUGUACGUCUGAGUGGAGUCUUCGGACAAAGCGAAGUGAUAAAAGUUCUUCCAAGAAAAGCGAGUAUAGCAGCCAGUACCGCAAACCGACACAGGUAGACGGGAUGAGUAUUCUAAGGCGCUCGGGUGAGCCGUGGAGAAGGAACUAGGCAAAUUGACGCUGUAACUUCGGGAUAAAGCGUACCGUCUUCGGACGGUCUCAGUAAAAUGGUUCAACCAACUGUUUAACAAAAACACAGGGCCCUGCAAAAUCGAAAGAUGACGUAUAGAGCCUGAUACCUGCCCGGUGCUGGAAGGUUAAGGAAGGGUGUUCGUCGCAAGACAAAGCUCCUGACUGAAGCCCCAGUAAACGGCGGCCGUAACUAUAACGGUCCUAAGGUAGCGAAAUUCCUUGUCGGGUAAGUUCCGACCUGCACGAAUGGUCUAAUGAGUUGAACGCUGUCUCCUCCACGAGCCCGGUGAAAUUGUAGUAUCGGUGAAGAUGCCGGUUACCCGCCACGGGACGGAAAGACCCCGUGAACCUUCACUACAACUUUGCAUUGAUUUUGAAUUACGGAUGUGUAGAAUAGUUGGGACGUUUUGAAGCAUUGCCGCCAGGUAGUGUGGAGCGGUCGUUGAAAUACCAACCUUCUUUGAUUUAGAGUCUAAUCCCUUGCGGGAAACAGUGCAUGGUGGGUAGUUUGACUGGGGUGGUCGCCUCCUAAAGAGUAACGGAGGCUUGCAAAGGUACCCUCAGUACGGUUGGUAAUCGUACGUAGAGCGCAUUAGUAUAAGGGUGCUUGACUGUGAGGCAUACAAGCCGAGCAGGGACGAGAGUCGGCUAAAGUGAUCCGGCGGUUCUGUAUGGAAGGGCCGUCGCUCAAAGGAUAAAAGGUACUCCGGGAUAACAGGCUGAUCUCCCCCAAGAGCUCAUAUCGACGGGGAGGUUUGGCACCUCGAUGUCGGUUCGUCACAUCCUGGGGCUGGAGAAGGUCCCAAGGGUUCGGCUGUUCGCCGAUUAAAGUGGCACGUGAACUGGGUUCAGAACGUCGCAAGACAGUUCGGUCCCUACCUGUGGUGGGCGCAAGUAAAUUGAGAGAACAUGACCUUAGUACGAGAGGACCGGGUCGUACGUACCGCUGGUGUAUCAGUUGUGCCGCCAGGUGCAAUGCUGAGUAGCUAUGUACGGACAGGAUAAACGCUGAAAGCAUCUAAGCGUGAAACCUAUCUCAAGAUGAAUUUACUUUUAAGGGUCGUCAGAGACUAUGACGUUGAUAGGCUAUAGGUGUAAAACUGGUAACAGUAAAGCCAAGUAGUACUAAUUGCCCGUACGCUUUAAUUA